AGAGAUGUCGUGGAUUACAGUCUUGUUUAGCAAUUUUAGUCUCUAAGCCAAACAAAAAACUCACAAUAACUCUUCAACCUGUAACUGAAAGACUGCAACACACUUCUUCAUGGAUCUCUCGAUCAAUAUCAGACCUUUGAGUGCAAAAGCAGGUUUAGUCUGUUAAUUAAAACAGAUAUGUGAAAGGUCAUAGGUCACUCACCACAACAGGACGACAUGAUCAGAGCAAGCCAGAGAGAGACGGAGAGCAACACAUUCAUCCUGGACGAGAGACACAAACUGACUGAGACAGACAGAGAGAGAGAGGGGGCGUGUCUAAAUAGAAACUCUCCAAACGAGAGAAAACUUACAGCUUUUAACGAGCCUCAGCUUUGUGAGUCGGACCCAACAGGCUUUUUAAGAUGAGGCCACUGAA
This is a long non-coding RNA of Haplochromis burtoni (Burton's mouthbrooder), 415 nucleotides long. RefSeq lists it as uncharacterized. The record is from RefSeq and is a predicted model, not a curated record. The transcript has 2 exons. Lineage: Eukaryota; Metazoa; Chordata; Actinopteri; Cichliformes; Cichlidae.